CCUACGGGUGGCAGCAGUGAGGAAUAUUGGUCAAUGGCCGAGAGUCUGAACCAGCCAAGUAGCGUGAAGGAAGACUGCCCUAUGGGUUGUCAACUUCUUUUAUCAAGGAGUCAAACGAGGCACGUAUGACUUUUUGCCAGUACUUUCGUAAAAAGCAUCGGCUAAAGCCGUGCCCGCGGCCGCGGUAAGACGGAGGAACCGAGCGUUCUCCGGCUUUAGUGGGGUUAAAGGGAGCGUGGAUGGGUGUGUAAGGCGGUUGUGAAGGUUUGCGGGUCAACCGUAAUAGUGCACUUGAGACUGGGAGUCUUGAGUACAGUUGAGGUAGGCGGAAUUCGUGGUGUAGCGGUGAAAUGCUUAGAUAUCACGAAGAACCCCGAUUGCGAAGGCAGCUUACUAGACUGUGACUGACAUUGAUGCUCGAAAGUGUGGGUAUCGAACAGGAUUAGAUACCCGGGUAGUC
This 460-nucleotide ribosomal RNA is filed under the name uncultured bacterium. RNAcentral's name for it is "partial 16S ribosomal RNA". It matches the Rfam family "Bacterial small subunit ribosomal RNA", at positions 338 to 795 of the family's 1533-position model. The record is from RNAcentral.